CGUACACUCCUACGGGAGGCAGCAGUGGGGAAUAUUAGACAAUGGGCGCAAGCCUGAUCCAGCCAUGCCGCGUGAGUGAUGAAGGCCCUAGGGUUGUAAAGCUCUUUCACCGGUGAAGAUAAUGACGGUAACCGGAGAAGAAGCCCCGGCUAACUUCGUGCCAGCAGCCGCGGUAAUACGAAGGGGGCUAGCGUUGUUCGGAUUUACUGGGCGUAAAGCGCACGUAGGCGGACUAUUAAGUCAGGGGUGAAAUCCCGGGGCUCAACCCCGGAACUGCCUUUGAUACUGGUAGUCUUGAGUUCGAGAGAGGUGAGUGGAAUUCCGAGUGUAGAGGUGAAAUUCGUAGAUAUUCGGAGGAACACCAGUGGCGAAGGCGGCUCACUGGCUCGAUACUGACGCUGAGGUGCGAAAGCGUGGGGAGCAAACAGGAUUAGAUACCCUAGUAGUCCCAUGA
Molecule: ribosomal RNA, 454 nt
Filed under: uncultured organism
Description: partial 16S ribosomal RNA
Rfam family: Bacterial small subunit ribosomal RNA
Source: RNAcentral